UCCCUGGUGGUCCAGUGGUUAAGACUCUGCAUCCCCAAUGCAGGGGAUGCAGGUUUGAUCCCUUGUCAGGGAC
Molecule: transfer RNA, 73 nt
Filed under: Bos taurus (domestic cattle)
Lineage: Eukaryota; Metazoa; Chordata; Mammalia; Artiodactyla; Bovidae
Also listed under: 3 other names
Rfam family: tRNA
About the family: Transfer RNA (tRNA) molecules are approximately 80 nucleotides in length. Their secondary structure includes four short double-helical elements and three loops (D, anti-codon, and T loops). Further hydrogen bonds mediate the characteristic L-shaped molecular structure. tRNAs have two regions of fundamental functional importance: the anti-codon, which is responsible for specific mRNA codon recognition, and the 3' end, to which the tRNAs corresponding amino acid is attached (by aminoacyl-tRNA synthetases). tRNAs cope with the degeneracy of the genetic code in two manners: having more than one tRNA (with a specific anti-codon) for a particular amino acid; and 'wobble' base-pairing, i.e. permitting non-standard base-pairing at the 3rd anti-codon position.
Source: Rfam by way of RNAcentral